AUGUUUCAUCUCCAAAAUUCAUGAACUGCUUGAAACCCCAUAAGCUUUGGGAUAUCGAAAUGGCGACAGCGCACUGGCCGAAGAAGCAAUAAAGAAGCAAGCUUGAAUCCGCUGACACCUCCACGCCCACGAAAGCCGAACUUCUCAUCAUACAGCAGGGGACAAAAAUGCAAAUUUAGGGUUCCAAGGGGAAGAGAGAAUGGCUGCUACUGCUACACUACUCUCACCCACUUCUUGCUUCUCCAAUCCCCAUCAUACUCUCGGUGGUUGUAGAAAUUUCAAGGCCAAAACCUUUCGUUUGCCUGCUCUUUCACCCCCCACAAUCCAAAUUACCCAGAUUGCUGGAGAGAAGUCUCCAAGGUUGCAGCAAAGAGAUAAUUUGGAGUUUCCUAGUGAUGUUGAUUAUCAAAUUGAGAGGGAUUGGGCAGAUUUAAAUGCUGAUAUUUACUUCUGGACAAAGUCUCUCCGUCCUGUUCAGUGGUACCCGGGUCAUAUAGCUAAGAGUGAAAGGGAGCUUAAAGAACAACUUAAGUUGAUGGAUGUUGUCAUUGAGGUUCGGGAUGCGAGAAUUCCGCUUGCCACUAGUCAUCCACAGAUGGAUUCUUUGAUUGGGAACCGGAGGAAAAUUAUAGUUUUGAACAGAGAAGAUAUGAUAUCAACUGCAGACAGAAACGCAUGGGCUAUGUAUUUUGCAAGGCAGGGAACAAAGGUUGUUUUUGCUAAUGGGCAGCUCGGAAUGGGCACUAUGAAGCUUGGAAGGUUGGCGAAGUCAUUAGCUAUUGGUGUGAAUGCCAAACGUAGAAGCAAAGGACUCCUUUCUUGUCCGGUUCGUGCUGGAAUAGUUGGAUAUCCAAAUGUUGGCAAAUCUUCUUUGAUCAACCGUCUAUUAAAGAGGAGAAUGUGCCCUGCAGCUCCCAGACCAGGAGUCACAAGAGAAUUAAAAUGGAUUCGUUUUGGGAAAGAUCUGGAGUUGCUAGAUUCCCCUGGCAUAUUACCAAUGAGAAUCAGUGAUCAAGUAUCUGCUAUAAAGCUGGCAAUUUGUGAUGAUAUUGGGGAGAGAUCUUAUGAUGUAUCGGAUGUGGCUGCAAUUCUCAUACAGAUGCUGAAGAGAAUUCCAUCAGUCGAUUUCAUAUCAAUUGGAGUUGCUGGUCUAAUUUGCGGUAAAUCACAUUUUCCCGGGUAAAGGAUCAUUAUUUUCAUUGGAAGAAGGACAAAAUCUAGAAGCAUCAGCAUGACUUGAAAAUAAGGGAAUACAUAUGUUUCAAGAAAUUUUUCUUGAUUCCCAUCAAUUUGUGUUGCUGGUCUAAUUUGUGAGAAAUUGCAUUUUCCAAGAUACAGGACAAUGAUUUUCAUGGGAAGAAGGACUAAUUCUACAAUCAUCAGCGUGACAUGAAAAUAAGGAUCAAGUGCCAUUUACAGCCGCUAUAAGAUGGAUCCAGAUGGACUCUGCGGUAAAACAUUUGUGGACAAGAUUGCACUACAGUUAU
Molecule: non-coding RNA, 1487 nt
Organism: Amborella trichopoda
Lineage: Eukaryota; Viridiplantae; Streptophyta; Magnoliopsida; Amborellales; Amborellaceae
Source: RefSeq, a predicted model, not a curated record